UACAGGGGGUGCAAACGUUGCUCGGAAUUAUUGGGCGUAAAGCGCGCGUAGGCGGCUACUUAUGUCGGAUGUGAAAGCCCUUGGCUCAACUGAGGAAGUGCACCCGAAACUGAGUAGCUGGAGUACGAAAGAGGGUCGCGGAAUUCCCGGUGUAGAGGUGAAAUUCGUAGAUAUCGGGAGGAACACCGGUGGCGAAGGCGGCGACCUGGGUCGAUACUGACGCUGGAGCGCGAAAGCGUGGGGAGCGAACAGG
This 253-nucleotide ribosomal RNA is filed under the name uncultured bacterium. RNAcentral's name for it is "partial 16S ribosomal RNA". It matches the Rfam family "Bacterial small subunit ribosomal RNA", at positions 524 to 776 of the family's 1533-position model. The record is from RNAcentral.